CACGGAGUUAGCCGAUCCUUAUUCCUUCGGUACAUUCAGCUCACUACACGUAAUGAGGUUUAUUCCCGAAUAAAAGCAGUUUACGACCCAGAGGGCUGUCUUCCUGCACGCGGCAUGGCUGGUUCAGAGUUGCCUCCAUUGACCAAUAUUCCUUACUGCUGCCUCCCGUAGGAGUCUGGUCCGUGUCUCAGUACCAGUGUGGGGGGUCAUCCUCUCAGAUCCCCCAGUCAUCGUCGCCUUGGUGGGCCGUUACCCCGCCAACUAGCUAAUGACACGCAUGCCCAUCUUAAUCCUAUAAAUAUUUGAACAUUGGACAAUGCUGUCCUGUGUUUUUAUGCGGUGUUAAUCCGAAUUUCUUCGGGCUAUCCCCCUGAUUAAGGUAGGUUGCAUACGCGUUACGCACCCGUGCGCCACUUUCCUCUUCAGCAAGCUGAAGAGUAUCGUUCGACUUGCAUGUAUUAGGCCUGCCGCUAGCGUUCAUCCUGAGCCAGGAU
This 494-nucleotide ribosomal RNA is filed under the name uncultured Pedobacter sp. RNAcentral's name for it is "partial 16S ribosomal RNA". The record is from RNAcentral. Lineage: Bacteria; Pseudomonadati; Bacteroidota; Sphingobacteriia; Sphingobacteriales; Sphingobacteriaceae.